UACGUAGGUGGCGAGCGUUGUCCGGAAUUACUGGGUGUAAAGGGCGUGUAGGCGGGAAUGCAAGUCAGAUGUGAAAGCCCAUGGCUCAACUGUGGGACUGCAUCUGAAACUGUAUUUCUUGAGUGCUGGAGAGGAAAGCGGAAUUCCUAGUGUAGCGGUGAAAUGCGUAGAUAUUAGGAGGAACACCAGUGGCGAAGGCGGCUUUCUGGACAGUAACUGACGCUGAGGCGCGAAAGCGUGGGGAG
This 245-nucleotide ribosomal RNA is filed under the name uncultured bacterium. RNAcentral's name for it is "partial 16S ribosomal RNA". It matches the Rfam family "Bacterial small subunit ribosomal RNA", at positions 524 to 768 of the family's 1533-position model. The record is from RNAcentral.